Molecule: long non-coding RNA, 2136 nt
Filed under: Salvia miltiorrhiza (redroot sage)
Lineage: Eukaryota; Viridiplantae; Streptophyta; Magnoliopsida; Lamiales; Lamiaceae
Description: long non-coding RNA (SMIL_LNC005874)
Source: RNAcentral
UAAAAACUAGUUUCAAGAGAAAAGAUAGUCUAACUCUUACCUCUUUUGCGCCUUUAGAUUGACGACGAAGUUGAUAGCUGCAAUAAAUAAUAAAAUUGACAGAUUUGAAUUGAAAAUAUCAUAUUUUCAAUCAAAAUGGUAGGACUAAGAAGGGUAAAAGUUUGUCAAAGCCUUACCUCACCAGAGACUACGAAUUUACGCUGAAAUUAAUCACUGAAAGGAAGAAGAUGAACAAUUAAAAAAAUCUAACAAAUUGAAUUGAGAAUAUAAGAUUUUCUAUCAAAAUCGUGGGAAUAGAGAAGAGUAAAAUCCUGUCAAAGUCUUACCUCACCAAUACUAAAUAGUUUUAAUAAGUAAACAAGUGGCAUCUAAAAACUAAAUAGCAUUAUGUGAGAAAGUGAAUAUCCAAUCGAACCAAUCCCCUGCAUAUGUAAGAAGAAAACAGGACAUGUCGGUUUCCUCACCGGAAAGCAAAGAAAACAAACCUGUAAAUUACAUAAGCUAGCAUCUGAAAUGCAGUAGGUGCCUUCUCAUAACUCCUUGCUUUCACCAAAAAAUAAGAGCUAAAUCACACUCUACACCUCUUGCUAUAACCUGAAAUUAGUACCGAGGAUAGCGUAAUUGAUGUAGUCAAUGAUUCAACAUGAAUUUCUCUAUUCCCUCACCGAGAGCCAAAAGGCAAAAUAAAUUAUACAAGAGACACAUAAAAUGGCAUCAAUAUAUAGAAAAUCAAGGACUUUAAACAACUCUUGCAACACAUUGGCAAUUAUUAGUAAAUUAAAAUGUUGUUGGGAAGAGAUCAUGCUACCCCAACAAAGGCAUCUGAAUACCAAAUUACAUGUUUAGAAAUCCGUAAAAACCAGCAUUAUCACAUGAGAAAUUCAAUAUGCAAAAGUUGGAAGAGAAAAAAGAAUUUGAAUAGUUACAGUUGCAGGUAUAAAAUCUCCAAGACAUAGAAAAUAUCAUUAUUCUAUUGCUCAAAUAACAAAAACCAUCUGCAAUAAAGUCCUUUAUCUGCAUCCUCCAUUUAACAGUUCAGGCUGAAAUAAAAUAAAAAUAGUGACAGGAGAAAAAACUUCAUAAAUUCAGUAAAUAUAAUAUAUCAUUCCACAGCGUCUAUAACUCACCUCAUGAAUCAAGACAUGCUUUACUACAACGCAAGAUCAAUAUAGCACGAAUUGUAAACCUACUAGAUGACAAACCAAAUAAAUAAACAGAUAGUUCCAAAGCAAUAAUACUAAGUAUAUAUUCAUCAUUACGUUGAAAACUCAAUUUGCAUAAGCAUAACCAUCAAACUAGCUUUGAAGUAUACAAAAUUGCUAAGGGCUGCAAAGUAUUACGACAGUGGAAUUUGCAUAGAAGCAUACCUUAUAAGAGUUAAAUAAUUGCCCACAAACGACAUCAACUUUCUAAACAAAACAAACUUCAUGAGGACUCCAAUACCAUACUUCAACUUUCUAAAUAAUAUCAACAUCAAAUUUCUCAAUAGUAAAAAUGACUAUACUAGAGCACACAUAAAACAUUAACGGUUCAAUUAUGCCAAAAUCUUAGUCCUCUUAUAAUAAAAAAAGUUAUCACUAGAGACCAACACAACAAAUUUUCUUAGAGACUAGGUAGUUAAAGGGAGAAUAAUUCACCAAAAACCAAUUAGAAUUCAAUAUAUAUGGCGAACCAAAAAUCACAAAAAAUUCUACCUACUGAAGGUGUCGACCAACUGUAGUUGCUGCUCCCUUUCGCUGCCAAAACUGGUAACGCUAAUACCUCCAUUGGUUGUCACCUACGUCCUCCGCUCGUCGUUUUGUCAGACCAGCACCGUGCCCACCUGAAGUGCCGACCGCUAAACCAUAUGACGCUUGAACUAUAUAUAUAUAUAUAUCCACUCCGCAAUCUGCCAUCUUGCCUUCCUCAAAGGGCAAACCCUUCCCCCUUUCACCAAUUCCUUAAUUGAAUUAUGUAAUGGAAUGAAACUAAAGAUUUUAAUUGUGAUGUAAAUAGCAAUUUCAAUCCACCAAAGGAGACCUAUUUCCCCUACUUAGGGGAGACGCACGAGCAGGAGACGAAGGUUUGGUGCUGAAGGAAUUCGAAUUGAUAAAUUUGGGAAUGUUUAAUUUUCGUUGUUGGGUUGGUGAAAAAAAA